GAUGAAGAACGCAGCGAAAUGCGAUAAGUAGUGUGAAUUGCAGAAUUCAGUGAAUCAUCGAAUCUUUGAACGCACAUUGCGCCCCUUGGUAUUCCAUGGGGCAUGCCUGUUCGAGCGUCAUUUGUACCUUCAAGCUCUGCUUGGUGUUGGGUGUUUUGUCUCGCCUCUGCGUGUAGACUCGCCUUAAAACAAUUGGCAGCCGGCGUAUUGAUUUCGGAGCGCAGUACAUCUCGCGCUUUGCACUCAUAACGGCGACGUCCAAAAGUACAUUUUUACACUCUUGACCUCGGAUCAGGUAGGGAUACCCGCUGCACUUAAGCAUAUCAAUAAGCGGAGGA
RNAcentral lists this unclassified non-coding RNA (338 nucleotides) under soil metagenome. Its description in RNAcentral is "partial contains 5.8S ribosomal RNA, internal transcribed spacer 2, and large subunit ribosomal RNA". The stretch from base 1 to 120 matches the Rfam family "5.8S ribosomal RNA", at positions 35 to 154 of the family's 154-position model. The record is from RNAcentral.